RNAcentral lists this long non-coding RNA (8473 nucleotides) under Sus scrofa (pig). RNAcentral's name for it is "lncRNA (ENSSSCG00000060263.1)". The record is from RNAcentral. Lineage: Eukaryota; Metazoa; Chordata; Mammalia; Artiodactyla; Suidae.
GGAUGCAUGAUCUUGGUUGAAUCCCAGACCAGAUUUCUUUUUCUGUCAAAGACAUUGGGUGAAAUUUAAGGUCUUCAGAUUAGAUUCAAUAUUUAUCCAAGUAAAUUUUCUGAUUUUGCCAAUCAUACUAUGUGAGAAUGACUUUGUUCUUAUAAAAUGCUCCCUAAAGUAUUUAGAUAUAAACGGGUGUUUGUUACUUAAUCUCAGGUGACUCAGAAGAAAAAUUACAUACGUAUUUAUGUAUGUGAUAUGUUGCUAGCGUAUAUGUCUAUGUCUCCCUUUGUCCAUGUAUCUCUCUGUCUCAGGAGAGAGGAUGAUAAAGCAAACAUGGCAAACCAUUAACAGCUGGGCUAUUUGGGAGAAGGGUAUGUGAAAGUACCUUUUACUGAUCUUGCAAGUUUUCUGUAAGUUUGAAAUUAUUUCAAAUAGAAAGUAAAGCCAUAGCAAGAGCUCUGUUUCGCCUCUAGAAGCAAGAAUAAGCAAAUGAGAGGACCACAACGUGGCAGACAAAAUCUCUCAUCCUCUUGUCGGGGUGGCUUUGCCCACCCUUUCUGAACUGCAACUUGGCAGUUCAUAUUGAGAAGCCUAAAAAUAUUUGUAACUUUUAACCUCAUUUCUCCUUAAAGAGAAUAUACGGGUGUGUAAAGAUUUAUGCACAACACCUUCUUGCGGUGUUGCUUUCAAAGGUAAAAAGUUGGAGACAGGAGUUCCCACUGUGGCACAGUGGGUUAAGGAUCCAGUGUUGCCACAGCUGUGGUGCAGCUUACAGCCGUGGCUCGGAUUGACCCCUGGCCCAGGAACUUCCAGAUGCUGUGAGCGUGGCCAAAAAGAAAAAAAAGUUGGAGACAAGCUAAAUAUUCACAGCAGGGCUGGUCUGAGCGCUGUGCAAUAGGAUGGCCCUAAAUGACGUCCAGGAGCAUUGUCGACAGCGCGACCAGAUGCUGCUUACCCCGCCGUGUCCCACAGCAUACCUGAAACACAGGACAGCAACGGAAUCUCCAUUAGAUCCAAAAUAUGCAUUACAAGCUCCGGAAGAAAACCUUAAGAGGCUGCCUCUCAGGUGUAGCCUUUUUUCCUUACUUUUAAGUAGUUUUCAGUAAUACUGCAUUUUGACCAUGUGCAAACAGAAAGCAGUAACAACAACAAAUAAAGCAGCAGCGAGAGUCUAAAGCUGUCUGGGCCACGCGAGGACAGUCCUCUCUCCAGCAGCCAUGACGCCGCAGCCCCCUGACUCACCCCAGCAAGGGUGAAGACAGAGGCUAGAGGCCGGGCCACUGACGUCAGGGUGACAGUGGAGGGUGAGCCUCCCUCGGCUGCCAGAGUUUGGGCCUGGGUCCCCCGGCAGCCCUGAUGAUGUCUGUCCCAUACUCGGGACUCCAUGCCUGCAAGGCUGCAGCCUGCCACCUGCCGGAAAUCAUUGGGGUUUAAAAACACCCAUCAAACAAGCAGCUGCAGUGUGUUGUGUUAGGAGCCAGUUCCUUCCUCUGGAAGACAGUCUCCAGAGGUGGUUUUCCUUAGGUCAGUUACUCCACAUUGAGCAAUGACCUGGAAUGCAGAACCAUGGGCACGUCCACAAGGGGCGGGGGGCAUUACCUGAUGGGCCCCCCAUGAGACAGAGAGAGCACCAUGCCCUCCCCCCACGGGCCCCCACCUUUCCCUGGGGAGCAGGCCUGCUGCUGUCUCGCCUCCCAGACCUUCUCUGUGUGCACGACAUCGGGAGUGGGGUCCUGGGUCAGAGACCGGCUCUGUCGUGGCCCCUGGGCCACCUCUCCCUCUGAGCGUUUAAACAGAAAGUGAUGACAUGGGCCAGCCACAUCCCAGGUCACCAUGAGGUCGCAUGAGGCAGAGCAGGUAAAGCCCGUGGUACAUUCAGAAUGAAGUUAAGCUGUCACAACUUUGGCCAAAAAAAGAAUACAUGACAGUGGUGUAGGUGUCUUUCUCGAAAGUACAGCUAGUGUAAAAUCAAGGCUGGUCCUAAGGCCAUUCAAGUUCAAAUGGUUCAUAAGCAGUGGGAAAAGCUAUGAGAUUUUUUAUACAGGGAGAAAACCCUAAGCAUCCUCUGUUUCUCUCUGACAAUUUGCCCAACUAUUUUAAGGCACAUUGGUUCUCAAGGGAGAAAGUACCAUGAAAGCUCCAAUGGGGAAGUUUCGUUUCCCUGCCCCUGCUGUGGAUAUACCCCAUGCUAAUUUAAAGAUCUAGAACGUUCUGAUAAAAACCACCAGAAUGUGUUAGGUAUAAUUAUUCCAAGUCUGCCCAUCUGCUUUCUGUCUCUGGUACCUGUCCACAUAGCCAGUUGAUUUCCAGAGGAUUCGCAGUGGCUUAUUUACAUUUAGGUUCAUGUAAAAGAGCACAGUUCUAGCCCCUGUUUGCUUUUUGCAUUACAGGUAGGGCAGUAGUGUUUUAAAGAGCCGUGUUUGUCUCUGUCCUAUUUUGGGGCCCAGGUACAGGUCCCUAUUUUUAGCAGCUCUGCGAUGUUGUGAAUCUGGAUCUCAACCACAGUGAGUCAGAGGGUCUGGCUGCCCAGAGAUGCAUGACUCAGAUGGGCAGGAAUAGUCUGUUCGACGGGAGAUGGGGCUUAAGGGGGAGGGGGGUUGGCUUGUGCUUAGUGAAAAACGGAAACGAAGCAUAAUGUUUAGGUAAAAAUCUGUUGCCCUUCUGCAGGGAGCUUUCCCCUCACCCCUGAAAGCAUUUGUCCCAUACCCGGAAGAGCCUUCUGGCCCCAUCAGCAUUAGAGUCAACAGAGUCCCACAGGCAGACCUGGAGGGGGGCUGGAGGAAGGGAUGGAGCAGGUGUUUGGGCAGGUGAGGGUCCUGGGGAGGGGAUUUUUCUAAGAGGAAAAAAUGUGAAGGAAAAGGUGGUCCCUCUGAAAGAGGGGAAGCAGCAGAUGGUCUCAUCUUGAUUGGACCAGAUUGUUUUUCACCAUCUGUCUGUCUGUCCGUCCCUCCAUCCUAUUAUGCGGACUUCCAGUAGACACAGUAGAACUUGAAAGCUGAUUGUGUCCUGGGCUCUUUGCCAGACUCAGGGGAGCAGCCCCUUACAGAAGGUGGGAGUGGGGGAAUAGUCCAGCCACAAGAUCCCAUCCAAGGCUUCAGUCUUACCAUCCCCAGCUGUCAGGAGCUUGGGCACUGGGCUGGCGUCUGUCCAGGCCCUGCUCACGUGGGUAGAAGGGACCCCGUGUACCUCACGGGAUAAGCAAACCCAGAGGAAGCCAGUGCCCUUGGUUUGAGGGCUUCCUUCUCUUUUCCCUCAACUCAGACCUCUGGCGCUAAGUACCUCUGGGCGUGGCCAAGGGGCCCAGUGAUCAGAGGUGGCCCCCCUCCAGCCUCUCCUGGGAGCGGGGACGGUCAUGUUUUCAGCCGCUGUUUAGAUUUUCCAGUGUUCCAUGAAAGCUCCUGAAUCUCUUCCCCAAAUAACAAAGUCCUGUUUGGUAUUUGGUGAGCUGUUUGCAGCACGGUGUUCAACUGAGCAGAACUAAGCUGCUGACAAAAUACUGUCUCAGCCGUUUAAUCAUAAUGGCCAACAUUUGUCUAGGGCUGUGUGGUUUAGCCCCCAGUGCCAUCCAUCCGGGGGCGUUGCACCCACGGAAGAUGCCGGUGAGGUGGGAUGCCAGCCUCCUGGUCCCUCUGAAAGCCUCAGCCACCCUCCUCUAACCCCGGUCUGGUCUCAGCCCCCCACGGCCCACAGCCUGCCCCCCACUCUCCACCCUGGGCCCUUUUCCUACUUUGGCCCCUGGAAGGGCUCUCGCAGGAUCAAGUCCAGCUCUCAGUACUGGAUCCCCUCUGCACAGCUUGGUCCUUCCGCUGUCCCUCCCCGCUCACCAGCAACAACUGUGUUCUCUGUGGACGGGCUGACCUUCCCCGGGUGCUGGACCAGGCCGCGGCCAGCCAUAGGUCCCAGGCCCGGCUGUGUGUCAGGUGGGAGGGCUGUAACUCUGGUUUUUUCUGUAAUACCCUCUCUGGUGUCUGGCAAGGGGCUAUUUAACUAGAAGUACCCCUUCUGAACCAGUAAGUCAGAGAAUCUGAAUGAAGUGGGCAUCUCUGUGGGCGUAGUGGCAUCACCAUGGAGUCAAGAGCAGAUGAGGCUGCAGGGUGGGCUCCUUUUGGGCAAGAGGCUGCCUAAACUAGGUGCCAAGGGAGAGAGGCGACGUCUAGUCAAGGCACACUGGUCAGGACCUGGUGCGUUGCUCAGGUGUGCUGGAGCCCAAAGUGCCUGCAAACCAAAGACGUGCCCCCUAAACCAAAGAUGCCCACCCCCUAACCAGAGACACCUCCUUCUCCUGAACAAGACAACCCCACCCCCAAAACCAGAGACACCAGACCCCCCCAAACCAGAGACACCCCCACCCCCACCAGAGAUGCUCACUCCCCACCCCACAGUGACCACAAAAGGGUGAUCCCAACUGGUCUGUGGGUCCCCAGAGGCUGGGUGAGGCCUGAGGGGUGGGGAGGAGAGUUUGAAGGGACUUUGGAGCAGAGUGACCAGGAGAGUGGGGCCCAGUGAGCCCUGUGGUGUUAGGAGCAGGGGACCGUGGACACCGAGGGGGGCCCUGGAAGUGGGGUAGGAGUGGCUGAGGCCGAAGAGGUCAGGACUCCCCUCCUCCUCCAUACGCCUCCCCCUCCCCAGCACACCCCACAGAGAGCGGCAGUGUGACCACUGUGAGCUGGCUUCACUCCUCUCACUGUGAGCUACAGUGUUGUUUUACCGGAAAACUACUUUCGCUCUGUUUUCCAGAUUUCAGUCAGCUUUGUUUUAAUUUAAGAAAAAAAUUUUAAAGUAUAAUUACAUAAGUAAUAUGCAAUCAUUAUGGAACAAUUAAAAGACAUUUAAAAAGUAGGGGGAGAAAUCCCUUCAGAAUCGUAGACCUCAGGGACACUGGGGUCUUUUUGUGUAUAUCCUUCCAGCCUUAACCACACAAAUGCAGAAAAGUUUUAAAAUGUUUAAAAAAGAACCUGCUACAUAGUGCUGUGUACCCUGAUUUUUCUUUACUUACAGACUAUGGCUGUGCUUCUCUGGUAUGUAUGAAUCUACAGCGUCAUUUCAGUAUGUACCUAGUAUUGAACUACACGAAGGUGCCAUAAUGUGUUGAAUCAGUUCCUUGUGUGAUCAGUGAGGCUGUCUUCACUCAUCACCUGUGUUCUUCUCUGUUCACCUUUACGAUAUGCACAAUGAUACGAAGCACAGACAAUUGAUAGCCUUAAUCCACGUGCAUCUCUUUUUGCAUGUGCCUUUUCCUGACAGUAAAUUCCACGCGUGGGAUUCCCAGGUCACAGUUACGCCUCGCGCUCUGUGUUGGCGAGGAACACAAAUGUUGGUCCAAAUCUAGAUUCUCAACAGCAGACGUAGGAGUUCCUGGUUCCUCAGACCCAUGCCACGUGGCCAGGCAUUAUCUUUACUAAUCUGGAAGGAAAUAGCAAACAUGACGCAGCACUGGAAAAUGUCUUCUGAACCGACCUUCAUUCUUUUAAAACACAACCCAAGAACCACCUGUAGAACCUCUAAUAAAACAUGGCCAGACCCCGGGGAUGGGUUGGGGGAGCUUAUUUCCACCCAAUGUUAAGCAAGAUUCUGGUGUGACAAAGGAGUAUGGACAGUUCCUAGAAAUGUACUGAGAUGAGGUAGAUUUGCUCCAUAGCUGAAAUUUCCUUGGGAAAGGAGGUCAUAUUAAACAUUUAUCAGUUUAAUUUCUGCCCCAGGGCCUUUGUUUCCCAACCUGCUGUGACUUUGGAUGACUGGCCAAUGUAGACCUCCUGGGAGCCCUGGGCCCCAUCAAGGGCCCCACGAGCCUGGCUGUGUGCCCAGAAUCUGGGCCUGGAUGGGCCCUCCCGCCCUCGCCCUCACCCGUAGGACUUGGGGCCUAGGCACCGGUCAGCAGCCCCAGGUUCCUCAAUGUGGGGCUUGAGGAAGGGUUCUGUACCGUGACUAUGCGUCUGCCUCCCAGAAUUGCCAUGCACUUUCAGGAACGUGUGACCAGCUUGACACACCAUCAUCGUUUCUCUUCUGCCCUUUGCUUUAUCAUCUGUUCAAAUGAGGGAUUCAAUUAUCUGAUCUUUAAAAACCCUUUUAGAUCCGGUUUCCUUAGGAUUUCAAGUUAGCACGAGUGAGGUCCUGCCUCUUUAAGCACAGAUUUCCGGCAGCUGUGGUUCAGCUCAGAAAGAGGUGCUUUUGCUGGCUUUGAUUUUGCAUGGCCACAUGCAUCUUAAUCCACUGCAUCCUCCUGCUUGUCCAGCCCACCGUGCCCCACCCGCGUCCUCCUGUCCACGUGCUGCUUUGGCAGAUGUUUGCGGUUGUCUCCUUUCCUCCAUGGUUUUUGGCAUCCAGGUUAGAAGAUGAAUUUCCUCUCCUUUGGCACCCCCCACCUCCUCCUGUGAGCACCUGUGGAGUAGACCCUGUUCAGGCUCAACUACAUUGUUGAUGAUUGACAGGGAGUUGGACCUGCAGGGAAUUUAUUUCGGCGGGUCAGCCUCGCUGGUCCUAGCUGUGACAUCCUGGUCACUGCUGCUUGAUAUUGGCCUAUUUUCAGCCCAUGUGCACAGCCCAAGGCCCCCAUUCAGCCUGUGUCUGUAUGUACCUCUCACAGGAACCAACCACUAGCUGCUCUGACUUUUCUGCACCUGUCCUGAUGGGUCAGAACGUGACAAAGGCCAAGCCACUUUUUGGGAAAACAACACAGAACAGGUUAUUGUCAUAAUAUUAGAGGAGGGGACUCAGUAACCAUGAACCACCCGGAUGUUAUCUUUAGAAAUGUCUUCCGGAGUUCCCAUCGUGGCGUAGGGGAAACAACUCCGACCAGGAGCCAUGAGGUUGUGGGUUCGAUCCCUGGCCUCGCUCAGUGGGUUAAGGAUCCGGUGUUGCUGUGAGCUGUGGUGUAGGUCACAGACGCGGCUUGGAUCCUGCAUUGCUGUGGCUCUGGCGUAGGCCGUCGGCUAUAGUUCUGAUUCGAUCCCUAGCCUGGGAACCUCCAUAUGCAGCCAUACAAAGACAAAAAAAAAAAAAAAAAAAAAAAAAAAGAAAUGUCUUCCCCAUAGUUGAUCCAGCAGCUGAAUCUGGCAUGAUCACUGAGUUGUGAUCCCAACUUUCAUGCUUGUCGCACUUGCCGUGAUGAAAAAAACCCUCCGAGUCUCCACGUCAUUCACAUACCUGCCUGGUUGUCCUCCUGCCCUGUGCUGUUGCCUGUCGUAUAUGGGAGUUAAUCCAGUAUCCUAGUCCUUUUUGUCUCCAGCACUUUGUAAUUCACCCUGGGAAUUCAUCCACCGCUUCCUCAUUCGUUCCAUAAAUAUUUACUAGAGGGAUAACAGCUAGUUUCUUUGCGUAAAGAGCGUCCUCUGAGCUCGUGGGUGUGGAUGUGGCUGCACGUGCCUGGCACACAGUAGGUACUCAGUUCCGGUGGGGCGGGUCACAUUCUGAAGCCUUAGAGCCUGGGCAGACUUGCCUGGAUGAAGUUCUUGGCUGCCUUCUUAAGGCAAAUACAUAGAAUAGAACUAAAUCUUCUCCUGCUACCUUGGGGCCAUUCUUUCGAGCACCAGUGCCUAUGCAAUGAGGUCACCUCUGCUCUGCAGGGCCACACCGGGUUCUGGGCAUGAAAUAAGUUCGGAAGCUGUCUCGUGGCCCUUGUGUGUGGUUUUUAGAGUUUGUGUCCUUCCUCGCAGUGAACCCGAGGGAUGCUGAUUUUCCUUUUCUGUCAACUGCCUCUUUGUGAGAAGCCUUCCCUUUGCUUAGCAUUUUUCACAUGUACUAUUUCAUUUAUUCCUCACAUCGGCUCUGCAGGUUAGAUGGGAUCAUAUCAAUUUGUUGAUUAAAAGAGAGAAAGAAAAACCUGACAGCUUUUAAGAGUUAAGUCGGAGAUCCCAUGGAUAGAGAAGGGGAUAGAGAGGGUUCUGGCUCCCAGCCUGGGUCCUCCCUGUGCCAGCCUCCCUCACCUGCUCCCUGGGGCUGGUGACUGCCGCAGGCCCUGUGGAGAUGGGCUGUAAAGUGGUGGAUCAGCAAGGAGGAUGGUGGCAGCUAGGGUUGCCAGGUUUAGCAAAAAAACAAAGCAAAUAAAAACCAAAAUGAUGAUGUUCACUUCAAUUAGAAUUUCAGAUAAAAAUUAAUUUUUUCUUCAUAUGCAUAAUUUCCCGUGUACUAUCUGGGACAGGCUUAUCAGAAGAGAAUUACUUUUUGCCUGAGAUUCAGAUCUAGCUUGUGUCUUGUGCUUGACCUGCAGCCUAAGAGCAGAGCUUGGGCUGCGGGAGGGUCUGGGACCGGCAGUGAUGGAAGGGCCUGCGUGGGAGCGUGGCCGGAAUGGAAGGGAAAUCCGCAGUGUCCUAUAAGGAGGGAGCUGGAGCGCUGCUCGAGCCGGAACAGGACGAGGCUCAAAGCAAACAAGGAUCAGCCACUCUGACUUACUCAAGAUGACAGUGAUUUGUCCCUGAGUCGGGGGUCACCCUGGUCCCUGCGGUGGGAACGCAGAGGACGGGUGCCCUCCCACAUCGUCCCC